Molecule: ribosomal RNA, 871 nt
Filed under: uncultured bacterium
Lineage: Bacteria
Description: bacterial SSU rRNA
Rfam family: Bacterial small subunit ribosomal RNA
Source: RNAcentral
AGAGUUUGAUCCUGGCUCAGGAUGAAGAAAGCGGCAGGCUUAACACAUGCAAGUCGAGGGGUAACAGGGGUGCUUGCACCCGCUGACGACCGGCGCACGGGUGCGUAACGCGUAUACAACCUACCUUUUGCUGAGGGAUAGCCCAGAGAAAUUUGGAUUAAGACCUCAUGGUACCAUUUGACGGCAUCGUUUUUUGGUUAAAGGCCACGGCAAAAGAUGGGUAUGCGUCCUAUUAGUUAGUUGGUAAGGUAACGGCUUACCAAGGCAUCGAUAGGUAGGGGCCCUGAGAGGGGGAUCCCCCACACUGGUACUGAGACACGGACCAGACUCCUACGGGAGGCAGCAGUGAGGAAUAUUGGACAAUGGGGGCAACCCUGAUCCAGCCAUGCCGCGUGCAGGAUGACUGCCCUAUGGGUUGUAAACUGCUUUUGUACGGGAAGAAACGCGCCUACGUGUAGGCGUUUGACGGUACCGUAAGAAUAAGGAUCGGCUAACUCCGUGCCAGCAGCCGCGGUAAUACGGAGGAUCCAAGCGUUAUCCGGAAUCAUUGGGUUUAAAGGGUCCGCAGGCUGGCCAGUAAGUCAGGGGUGAAAGUUUGCCGCUCAACGGUAAAAUUGCCUUUGAUACUGCUGGUCUUGAAUUACUGUGAAGUGGUUAGAAUAUGUAGUGUAGCGGUGAAAUGCUUAGAGAUUACAUAGAAUACCGAUUGCGAAGGCAGAUCACUAACAGUAUAUUGACGCUCAUGGACGAAAGCGUGGGUAGCGAACAGGAUUAGAUACCCUGGUAGUCCACGCCGUAAACGAUGGAUACUAGCUGUCCGGGUAUUUUAAUACUGGGGUUGCCCAAGCCGAAAGUUGAAUAAAGGUAAUUC